UGAGCCACCGCGCCUGGCAAGGAGCUGCCUGCCUUGGCCUCCCAAAGUGCUAAGAUUACAGCCUCUGCCCGGCCGCCACCCCGUCUGGGAGGUGAGGAGCAUCUCUGCCCGGCCGCCCAUCGUCUGGGAGGUGAGGAGCGCCUCUGCCCGGCCGCCCGGUCUGGGAAGUGGGCGCCUCUGCCCAGCUGCCCCGUCUGGGAGGUGGGGGGCGCCUCUGCCUGGCUGCCCCGUCUGGGAGUUGAGGGGUGCCUCUGCCCGACCGCCCCACCUGGGAAGUGAGGGGCACCUCUGCCCAGCCACCGCCUUAUCUGGAAGGUGGGGAGCGCCUCUGCCCGACUGCCCCGUCUGGGAAGUGGGCGCCUCUGCCCGGCCGUCCCAUCUGGGGGGUGAGGAGCACCUCUGCCCGGCCACCCCGUCUGGGAGGUGAGGAGUGCCUCUGCCAGGCCGCCCCGUCUGGGAAGUGUACCCAACAGCUCCAAAGAGACAGCGACCAUCGAGAACGGGCCAUGAUGACAGUGGCAGUUUUGUCAAAAAGAAAAGGGGGAAAUGUGGGGAAAAGAAAGAGAGGUCAGAUUGUUACUGUGUCUGUGUAGAAAGAAGUAGACAUAGGAGACUCCGUUUUGUUCUGUACUAAGAAAAAUUCUUCUGUCUUGGGAUGCUGUUAAUCUAUAACCUUACCCCCAACCCCGUGCUCUCUGAAACGUGCUGUGUCAACUCAGGGUUAAAUGGAUUAAGGGCGGUGCCAGAUGUGCUUUGUUAAACAGAUGCUUGGAGGCAGCAUGCUCGUUAAGAGUCAUCACCAUUCCCUAAUCUCAACUACCCAGGGACACAAACACUGCGGAAGGCCGCAGGGACCUCUGCCUAGGAAAACCAGAGACCUUUGUUCACGUGUUUAUCUGCUGACCUUCUCUCCACUAUUAUCCUAUGACCCUGCCACAUCCCCC
This is a long non-coding RNA of Homo sapiens (human), 944 nucleotides long. The record is from Ensembl. NCBI's taxonomy places the organism in Eukaryota, Metazoa, Chordata, Mammalia, Primates, Hominidae.